UCCAGUUGGCGUGAGCACUCUUCUCGGUCCCUACUAUUAUUAUUUGUCAUUUUUGCUUUGACGACUUGGUUCUGCAACCCCAACCCAGCUCAGAGUUGUCCAAAGCUCCUCACACUUCACCACCCGAUGUCCCCGGGAGCUGUCAGCCUCACCAGCUCUCCGCCAGUGCCGGUCCCCACGGAGCCUUCACCUGUCCAUAUCGUUCAGCUGCCUGCAACUUCCGACUGACGAACACGCACAGCUCUGCGGCCCAGUGACAAACACCAUCUCACAGAUAAGGCUUCUGAAAAGUCAAAGCCAAUCCAGCGUCCACUGAAAAUGUAAUGCCGGGUCCAUCGUUGCCCAUCAUUCUCCCGACUGUUGCUCAUGUCCCAAGAGGCCCUUGAAG
Molecule: long non-coding RNA, 388 nt
Organism: Echinops telfairi (small Madagascar hedgehog)
Lineage: Eukaryota; Metazoa; Chordata; Mammalia; Afrosoricida; Tenrecidae
Exons: 3
Source: RefSeq, a predicted model, not a curated record